UUAUCUACGUAAAAUGUAGAUCGACGCUAUAUCAUUUAAUUUCACAAAAUUAAAUGUCUCGUCACAUUUAUUCUUUGGUCAAAACCAUUGACCGAGCAUAUUUAAUCCAUGAUUUUUACACUAAAGUCCACUAAAAUGUAGAUAUAUCCAGAGAGUAUAGAGAGAGUAUAAACUAUACAUAAAAAAACUAAACAAUGGUGCUGCCAAAGAUCUUUAAUGACUAAUGCAUAUAGAAUAUAAGAUUCAUGUAUAGAUGAUAUUAGAGGAAUGUAUAGAAGAAUUACACUAAACUAAACUAAACUAAACUAAACUGCAGAUACAUCAAAGAAUAUCCAGAGAGUAUAAACUAAAAUAACAAAACUAAGGAAUGGUGCUGCAAAGAGAACUGGAAUUAUGAUGGUAUGAAAAGAUGAAAGAUGAUUAUUAGAGAAAUCAGAGAGAAUGGAAUAGAUGAAAGAGUCAGAUACCAAAAGAAGAAUGGAAGUAUAUGAUGGAGUGAGGUAUAUUGCAGGGUGAGUAAAGAAGAAGUAGAAGAGAGUAUUUAUAGGAGUUCAUUUGCAUAAAGCAGUAGAAUAAAAAGAAAUUAGCUUUGGAAAACAAACAUAAUCAUUGGUAAGACCUUUCAAAUAACAAAUAAUAAAAAAUAAAAGAUAACACAAAGAAUUAACUAAAAAAUAUGCAAAAUCGAAUAAAAAAACAAUGCCCAUGUUCUGAAAUAGGUUAUUUAUUAGAACUGAUAUAUAGGAAUAUAAAUAAUGUGAGUUUCCAUGCAUUGUGUAUUAAAUACAGAUCUCAUUAAUUGAGCCUACUGACAGCCCUAUUAAUGACUAAUAUAUUGUGUUCCCUUAUUGAUAUUUGCCCUAUUUUGCUGGAAUAAGAACAAUAAAUAGAAGAAAACAUAAUGAGAUAACAGCCGCCCCACAUUUUCGAGGUAGAGGAGAGAGAAAUAUAGCUACAAUAAAUACAAAAAGAGACCUAGAGGAUGCACGCCUAUAAACCUCUUCAAAUCUGCAACCUAAAUCAGAAUAUGUAAAAACCUCUUCAAAUCUGCAACCUAAAUCAGAAUAUGUCAAAAAUAAGAGGAAGAAGAAAGGAUACAAAAUACAUCUCAUAUGGAAAGAGAAUGAGAGAGAAUAAAAGAAGCAAUCAUUACAGAAAGAUGGCACAAAGGGUGUUGCACGCCUGAUACCUCUUUGAUUCUACUCUCUAAAAAGUAAAUAAUAGAAGAGGAAGAAGGCAUUACUAUGAAAUGAACCAAGAGAAGUAUUAUACAAAAUCCUAUCAGAAUUAUUCCAAUAGAAAAGGAUAUAUAUUCAAGAACAAUUGCAAGACCAAUGAAGGAUUUUACAAACUAAUAUCAGAAUUUGUCCAAAAAAAUGUAUUAUUCUUAUUUAUUAAUAUACACAGUUAUGCUCAAAAUUAGAUGUUUUAAAAAUGAUAAGAUUAUAAUAGAAUCAUUGGUAAAAUAUUGAAUUCAAGGUCUAAGUUCUUAAAUGAUUUGAUUUAUAUAUCCAGCUAUAAUAUGAAGGAUUACAUUAAUUGAUA
Long non-coding RNA from Salvia splendens (bonfire salvia), 1545 nucleotides. RefSeq lists it as uncharacterized. The transcript is spliced from 3 exons. Lineage: Eukaryota; Viridiplantae; Streptophyta; Magnoliopsida; Lamiales; Lamiaceae. The record is from RefSeq and is a predicted model, not a curated record.